UUUUACAGGUUGACCUCGGAUCAGGUACUGGAGUGAGGGCCCUCUGGGUCCAACCUCCCACCCGUGUUUAUUGUACCUUGUUGCUUCGGUGCGCCCGCCUCACGGCCGCCGGGGGGCUUCUGCCCCCGGGUCCGCGCGCACCGGAGACACUAUUGAACUCUGUCUGAAGAUUGCAGUCUGAGCAUAAACUAAAUAAGUUAAAACUUUCAACAACGGAUCUCUUGGUUCCGGCAUCGAUGAAGAACGCAGCGAAAUGCGAUAACUAAUGUGAAUUGCAGAAUUCAGUGAAUCAUCGAGUCUUUGAACGCACAUUGCGCCCCCUGGUAUUCCGGGGG
RNAcentral lists this ribosomal RNA (335 nucleotides) under Penicillium italicum. RNAcentral describes it as "partial 5.8S ribosomal RNA". The stretch from base 202 to 335 matches the Rfam family "5.8S ribosomal RNA", at positions 1 to 134 of the family's 154-position model. The record is from RNAcentral. Lineage: Eukaryota; Fungi; Ascomycota; Eurotiomycetes; Eurotiales; Aspergillaceae.